Molecule: long non-coding RNA, 887 nt
Organism: Lolium rigidum
Lineage: Eukaryota; Viridiplantae; Streptophyta; Magnoliopsida; Poales; Poaceae
Exons: 4
Source: RefSeq, a predicted model, not a curated record
UUCCAUGGAGGGCUCACGCCGCCGGUCGGCUUCCAGGGAUGGCGCCUAUGGUGGUGCACGCUAACGCAGUGCUAAACACUCCCAGGUCAGAGUGAAGCUUCUCCUAUGAGAGAAAGGCUCGUGGUUUGAACCGGGAUUGGUCUUUGGGGUACAGAGGUGGUCGUUUGGCUUGAGUGGUGCAGCUUGGAGGAACGGAGGUGGAGACAAUGAUAUGGGCAAACAAUGCUGCAUCAGCAUCAAGAGCUCAUCAACUGGCCAUGCGAGGCGCGACGACUGCGGCCGGCAGCACGAGGGUGUGGGGCUGGAAGAGGCGUGCUGGAGGUGCAAGUGACCACAGCUGAGUACCUCAGUGAGCUUGCUUUGGUUCAUGUCAUGAAGAGACUUGCGGCCUGCCUCCGAGGGAGGCGACACUGAAUGCGCUGAGCCGAUGUCAUCUGAAGAAUCAAGCACCAAGAUACUGCUUCAGGCUGGCAUCCUGCCACUGCUCGCCGUCUCGCUGCUCCAUGGCCAGGUAUGGCGGCGAUGUGCUUGGUCAAGUGGAGACAAGCGCCGUGGGAGAAGAUGAACAUCGGGAGGGGUCGAGGUUGAGCAGGAGAUGAAGGGGUUGCCGUGCGCAGCACCGUGCUCGGUUUACCUUGGGCUCAUCAUCAAGGACGAUGUCAACAGUCGGGUCUGAUCCGGAGGCGGUGUGGUCAGCGUGUCCUGAGCCGGAGGAGGCGAGGACCAGCACGAGGUUUCAUAACUUCAAAUCAUUCACUAAUUGAUCUUCAGGAAAUGUAUUAAGACCAUCGUGCAAAAGUUCAUGAUUGUUUGACUCAGUUAUGGCAAAUUAAGCAAAUGAGUUUUUCAUGUAUUCCUGUUUGUAUCAGAAGGUCGGCUUAUUAACA